Hydra vulgaris (swiftwater hydra) is the source of this 841-nucleotide non-coding RNA. The record is from RefSeq and is a predicted model, not a curated record. NCBI's taxonomy places the organism in Eukaryota, Metazoa, Cnidaria, Hydrozoa, Anthoathecata, Hydridae.
ACCGCUUUUUAAACGUUACAUUUUCAACGUUGAAUAAGCGUAUAAAUUUAAACGUAUCUUAUCUUCUCAAAAAAAUGCGUUUAUUAAACGUUGAAUAUAAGUACGCAAAUAAUCACUGUAAAAACGUCGCAAAGGUAAUAGUUUAUCAACGUUAGACAUUAGCUGCUUUUUCAACGAAUUUAAACUAUUUGAAAAACAACACUUAUUCAACGUUAUUUCAACUUUGGUUGAAAAUGUGGUAAUUAAAAAACGUUGAAAAAGUGUUACUUUGCCAACGUUAAUAAAACGUUGUUUUGACAAUGUUGAGGAAGUGGCACAUUGAAAAUUAAUGUCUCAAUAACUAGCCAUUACAAAAAUAAUUUGCUGUAAUGGAAAGGCAAGGAAAACUUAAUAGAAUGCAUGCAUAUGGUUUGAAGCAGAGGCAGUUGCUCCAUUUUGUUCGAAAAAAGAUGGAUGGUUAUUUUGACCAACUUGUGUUCAUGCAAUGAAAGCUACCUAUAAUAAUUUUCCAAUCAUUGAUUCCUGCAACAAGCUUAGACUUAAAAGAGUUAAAGUAACUGUUUUUACAUAAUUUUGUUUAUAUUUAUUUUACUAAAUAAUUACUAAUAGAUAAAGAAGUAUGUGCAGGAUUUAAUUUCACGACUAAAGAGGACUCCGAAGAAGAAUUAAAGUUCUGGUGGAUCAAAGAUCGAGGAAUGAUUUGGUUUUAACUGGUUUGCAUCUUAUGAACGAAGUGCAUAAUAUGAUUUAAAUUGAUGAUUUAUAGUUACACCUAUAGAAGUUCUGUAUCUCAAUGAUAUCCUGGCUUAUCGAUACGAUAUCCUGUAAAUCCACUCACACA